CACGAUAUUUCCAGGUAUUUUACGAUUCAAAGUUGCAAGUAUAUUUUUUGGUUGCACCAAAUUCAAUGUCAUAUCUGAAACAUAUUCCUUUUCUUCCGGCAUGAGGCGACAUACAAUUGGAUGACCGACUAACUUUUCACACAAGUCAUGGUUAUGUAAACCACAUAUCACAUUAAAUCUUCAUUUUUAUUUUCCAAAAGAUAACCACGCAACUUAAAGGGACACUUACAUUUUCUUGAACCGGUGUUAUCUCGUUUGAAAUUCUGUAGAGGAUUUGUAUACUUCUUAACUCUUUUGCACAUCAUUGUCACAAAUGCACCUCUUCUAUCCGAAUCAUUAUCGGAACAUCUGAUUACAAUACCUAACCCAAGUUUAGAUGCCUUCAUACGAAUCAUUAAUGCAUGUGUUAACGAAAUUCAAACUCUUGUUUAUUUUUAAAAUGGUUGCUAACAUCUACCUCAUUUAUAACAAACAUUUGGCAUCUGGAGACACAAUAAGUUUGAAGAAAAUGUCGGGGUGCACCAUAUCUAAUGAAAACAAUAAUAUAAGAUACUCAAAAACAACUAAAACUAAAAAUAGACAGCUGGAAAAUGAAAAUAGAUAGACUCCAAAAAUGCAUUUAUUGAGGAAUUCAUACAGACUCUGAAAAUACAUUUCUAGAUUCGACGUAAGUUUUUUCUGCUAAAAAUCAAGAUUAAUAUGAGCAAUGAGGACUGAAAUAAAUUAUCUUUACCUUGAAUUCUAGCUUCUUUUGCUCCUUUUGAUGUGAUGAAACACAAGAAUGAAGUUUUGGAGUGAAAAUCUUGAUUGAGAAUGGAAGGUUUUUUAGAAAAAAUGGGUAUCUGGAAUGAUCAUGCAUGUGGCUGUUUUAUUAAACUGGCAUUUGAUAUUUCCUAAAAUACAUAUCCAGAAAUGCCUAACAUGCAAAGGUGACGGGUUUUCAAAUUACCACUUCAAAACUCUGGACAUGCUUAUCUGAAAACUUUAUUGAGAUGCUCAAUAAUUAAUAAAUUAAAUUGAUAUGUCCAAAGAUGCAUCUUCGGAACAAAAUUUUGUUUUAAAAUGGGAUGACACUCAUUUGGUGCGUCAUUUAGUGAUGCAAAGGGUGAGUCCGGAGAUACAUCUCUGAAAUUUAAGGGGUAUUUUCGAAUUUUCAUAGGGUUUUUUUCCACCUCAUAGGGUGUGUAAUACCCUAAAAUCCCAACUCUUAAUUUAAAACAAUAAACAAUCAUUUAGGUUGCUACUCAACAAAACAUGCAUACUUUCUCAUUUAAAUCAUCAACUCGUAGCGGAAAUUUUAAAUAAAUAACAUAAACAUCAAUGGUCUCAU
Molecule: long non-coding RNA, 1330 nt
Filed under: Lathyrus oleraceus (garden pea)
Lineage: Eukaryota; Viridiplantae; Streptophyta; Magnoliopsida; Fabales; Fabaceae
Description: Pisum sativum (pea) long non-coding RNA (PSAT_LNC038150)
Source: RNAcentral